RNAcentral lists this ribosomal RNA (254 nucleotides) under uncultured bacterium. RNAcentral describes it as "partial 16S ribosomal RNA". It matches the Rfam family "Bacterial small subunit ribosomal RNA", at positions 524 to 776 of the family's 1533-position model. The record is from RNAcentral.
CACGUAGGGUGCGAGCGUUGUCCGGAAUUAUUGGGCGUAAAGAGCUCGUAGGCGGUGUGUCGCGUCGGCCGUGAAAGCCUGCAGCUUAACUGUGGGCUUGCGGUCGAUACGGGCAUCACUGGAGUUCGGCAGGGGAGACUGGAAUUCCUGGUGUAGCGGUGAAAUGCGCAGAUAUCAGGAGGAACACCGGUGGCGAAGGCGGGUCUCUGGGCCGAUACUGACGCUGAGGUGCGAAAGCGUGGGGAGCAAACAGG